AGGACGAACGCUGGCGGCGUGCUUAACACAUGCAAGUCGAGCGGAAAGGCCUUUCGGGGUACUCGAGCGGCGAACGGGUGAGUAACACGUGAGUAAUCUGCCCAUCGCUUCAGGAUAGCCAUCGGAAACGGUGAUUAAUACUGGAUAUGACAUUCCUUCGCAUGUUGGGGUGUGGAAAGUUUUUUCGGCGGUGGAUGUGCUCGCGGCCUAUCAGCUUGUUGGUGGGGUAAUGGCCUACCAAGGCUUUGACGGGUAGCCGGCCUGAGAGGUGACCGGCCACACGUGGGACUGAGACACGGCCCAGACUCCUACGGGAGCAGCAGUGGGAA
This 329-nucleotide ribosomal RNA is filed under the name uncultured soil bacterium. RNAcentral describes it as "bacterial SSU rRNA". It matches the Rfam family "Bacterial small subunit ribosomal RNA", at positions 26 to 360 of the family's 1533-position model. The record is from RNAcentral.